Molecule: unclassified non-coding RNA, 171 nt
Filed under: uncultured Mucoraceae
Lineage: Eukaryota; Fungi; Mucoromycota; Mucoromycetes; Mucorales; Mucoraceae
Description: sequence contains ITS2
Source: RNAcentral
ACAACCCUUAUUCAAACAUUUUGUUGGAAUAGACUUGAGCGUAGUAAGUUUAACUUGAGACGCUUUAAAUUCAGUAAGGCCUGAUAUUGUUUCACUGCCUAUAUUAUUUUUAAUUUAAGAAAGAUAGAAGCGAUUGAAGCUGUGGUUAAGGCCUCCCAAAUAAUUUUUUAA